CCUACGGGUGGCAGCAGUGGGGAAUCUUCCGCAAUGGGCGAAAGCCUGACGGAGCAACGCCGCGUGAUCGAAUGAAGGCCUUCGGGUGGUAAAGAUCUGUUGACAGGGACGAAUAAGCAAUGAAAAUAGUUUUGUGUAUGACGGUACCUGUUUAGAAAGCUCCGGCUAAAUACGUGCGACCAGCCGCGGUAAUAGGUAGGGAGCAAGCGUUGUUCGGAAUUUCUGGGCGUAAAGGGCGCGUAGGAGGGCGCUUAAGACAGGUGUGAACACUCCGGGCGUAACCUGGAGACUGCACUUGAAACUGGGUGUAUGUGGGGCAGGAGAGGAAAGUGGAAUUUCUAGGGU
RNAcentral lists this ribosomal RNA (345 nucleotides) under uncultured bacterium. RNAcentral's name for it is "partial 16S ribosomal RNA". It matches the Rfam family "Bacterial small subunit ribosomal RNA", at positions 338 to 676 of the family's 1533-position model. The record is from RNAcentral.